CCGAACGCACCCGUAGUCAGUGAUUAGGAGCAUUAGGAGCAUGCGGGGCAUGGCAACUGGCAACGCGAAAACUCACUAAAAAAAUGAUAAUAAACAACGAGAAUGAAUAGCUUAGGAUUAAAUUUAAUUUUAAAAAUGGGUUGUAUUUGUACUAAGGAGAUCAUUACGGUAAACUUGAGAAAAUAUAAAGUCUGCGAACAACUUGGAGACGGGGGAUUUAGUACAGUAGUUUUAGUUGAGGAUGUUAUUACACACAAAAAGUAUGCGAUUAAAAGAAUUAUUUGUCAUGGCCCAGAAGAUCAGCAAUUAGCAGCGAAAGAAGUUGAGUAUUAUAAAUUGAUAAAGCAUCCUAACGUUAUAGAAUGUAUAGAUUCGUCCUGCAACGGCAUGGCAGACCCAGUUGUAAAUACAACAAGUAAAAUAUUAAUUGUUUUACCAUAUUAUCACAAAGGAACUUUAGCGAAUGAUUUAGAACGACGAGCAAGGAAUUGUGAUUACAUGAGUUCUGCGGACAUUCUUAGGAUGUUUUUACAAAUCUGCGAAGGUGUAAAGGCAUUUCAUGAGGCUAAACCAGAACCACUGGCUCACAGAGAUUUAAAAACUGCAAAUAUAGUACUUAGCGAUGAUGGAACACCUGUUAUUAUGGAUUUAGGAUCUGUAACAACUGCCAGAGUUCAAGUAUGUGGUACUCAAGCUGCACGGACUUUACAAGACUUAGCCGCUGAAAGAUGUUCCAUGCCGUAUAGAGCUCCAGAAUUAUUUAACGUUGAGAGUUAUUGUAUGGUUGAUGAACGAACAGAUAUUUGGAAAUAUAGAAGUGGUGGGAAAUAUCAAAGUGUCAUUGGGAUGUAUACUAUAUGCACUGUGUUAUUUUAAAUCUCCUUUUGAUACUGUUUACGAACGAGGCGACAGCGUAGCUCUUGCUGUUAUUAGUGCACAUGUAACGUUUCCAGAAGAUACUCCAUACAAUGAAGUUGAUAUGCAAAAUUUAAUUUUGUCAAUGUUAAAAGUCAAUUCAAUGGAACGCCCGUAUAUAUAUAGUGUGAUAGAGAGCGUGCACGAUGCUAUUACCAAAUUAAAA
Molecule: unclassified non-coding RNA, 1081 nt
Filed under: Monomorium pharaonis (pharaoh ant)
Lineage: Eukaryota; Metazoa; Arthropoda; Insecta; Hymenoptera; Formicidae
Description: serine/threonine-protein kinase 16, transcript variant X4
Source: RNAcentral